Molecule: ribosomal RNA, 482 nt
Filed under: uncultured bacterium
Lineage: Bacteria
Description: partial 16S ribosomal RNA
Rfam family: Bacterial small subunit ribosomal RNA
Source: RNAcentral
AUUGAACGCUGGCGGCAUGCUUUACACAUGCAAGUCGAACGGUAACAGGCCGCAAGGUGCUGACGAGUGGCGAACGGGUGAGUAAUGCAUCGGAACGUGCCCAGUCGUGGGGGAUAACUACUCGAAAGAGUAGCUAAUACCGCAUACGAUCUAUGGAUGAAAGCGGGGGACCGUAAGGCCUCGCGCGAUUGGAGCGGCCGAUGUCAGAUUAGGUAGUUGGUGGGGUAAAGGCUCACCAAGCCAACGAUCUGUAGCUGGUCUGAGAGGACAACCAGCCACACUGGGACUGAGACACGGCCCAGACUCCUACGGGAGGCAGCAGUGGGGAAUUUUGGACAAUGGGCGCAAGCCCGAUCCAGCAAUGCCGCGUGCAGGGAGAAGGCCUUCGGGUUGUAAACUGCUUUUGUACGGAACGAAACGGCUCUGGUUAAUACCCGGGGCUAAUGACGGUACCGUAAGAAUAAGCACCGGCUAACUACGUG